GGGGAUAUAGCUCAGUUAGUAGAGUGUUUGCCUCAUAUGCAUAAGGCCCUGAGUUCAAUCUCCAGCACCACCA
Molecule: non-coding RNA, 73 nt
Organism: Ictidomys tridecemlineatus (thirteen-lined ground squirrel)
Lineage: Eukaryota; Metazoa; Chordata; Mammalia; Rodentia; Sciuridae
Source: Rfam